UGAAGCCCAUCUAUACAGGAUUAGGUCAGA
RNAcentral lists this non-coding RNA (30 nucleotides) under Rattus norvegicus (Norway rat). Lineage: Eukaryota; Metazoa; Chordata; Mammalia; Rodentia; Muridae. The record is from RNAcentral.